This is a long non-coding RNA of Triticum aestivum (bread wheat), 725 nucleotides long. RefSeq lists it as uncharacterized. Lineage: Eukaryota; Viridiplantae; Streptophyta; Magnoliopsida; Poales; Poaceae. The record is from RefSeq and is a predicted model, not a curated record. The transcript is spliced from 4 exons.
AGCGAGGGUGGCGUUCUAUGGAUUUGGCGCCCCCCAUCCCAGCAGCACGUGGGAGCCGGUGUCUUCGGGAAGAGCUGGGUCUCCUUGCCGGCGACCUCACCAUCUUGCCAGCGACUUCACCUUCACCAGCCCAUCUACAGUUGCUUGAGCUGAAGCAUUGAGAUGGUGAAACAUUAACUAUUGCUGAUUCUAAACUUGGAAAUGCUAUAAAAGAGAAGUUGAAAAUUGGCUGCGUUCACAAUAAUGAUGUGAUGGAGCUAAUGAGAGGGCUCAUAAAUCAGCUUAGUGAGCUUAUAUCUUGGUUGGGCACACAGGACCUUGGUCCGAGGAGCUUGGGACUUUCCCACAACUUGUCUAGAUACAAGCUGAAAUUCAGUCCUAAAAAGGUGAGGAAUUCAUGGGCUUGUAACAUGGAAAAAUAAUUGUAAGUGUAGUUUCAGGUAAGAACAUGCCGAAUAUAACAGCCGAAGAAGGAAGGGACAUGAGGCUGUAAUGUCUUUUUUAUUCCCAUUCCUUUCAGGAAGUCACAGCUAGGAGUGGUGGGUGGACAUAUAACUGUCUGUUAGCCCUUUUAUGUGUUUCUGAAUGAAGUGGGAACUAAUGCUAGAUUCUUUUCCUGAUACAUAAUUGAUAUGUACACUUACCACACUAUCGUGAUCACAAAUGUUUACAACUGUCUGAAUCGUGUGAUUGCAAAGUAGAACCCACAUGAUUGAUACUGAUGA